RNAcentral lists this ribosomal RNA (456 nucleotides) under uncultured bacterium. Its description in RNAcentral is "SSU rRNA". It matches the Rfam family "Bacterial small subunit ribosomal RNA", at positions 26 to 518 of the family's 1533-position model. The record is from RNAcentral.
AGGAUGAACGCUGGCGGCGUGCCUAAUACAUGCAAGUCGAGCGGUAAGGCCUCUUCGGAGGUACACGAGCGGCGGACGGCUGAGUAACACGUAGGAACGUACCCCAAACUGAGGGAUAAGCACCAGAAAUGGUGUCUAAUACCGCAUGUGCUCUUCGGAGUAAAGCUACGGCGGUUUGGGAACGGCCUGCGCAUGAUUAGCUAGUUGGUGAGGUAAUAGCUCACCAAGGCUACGAUCAUUAGCUGGUCUGAGAGGAUGAUCAGCCAGACUGGGACUGAGAACGGCCCAGACUCCUACGGGAGGCAGCAGUAGGGAAUUUUCCACAAUGGGCGAAAGCCUGAUGGAGCAAACGCCGCGUGCAGGAUGAAUGCCUUCGGGUUGUAAACUGCUUUUAUAUGUGACGAAUAUGACGGUAGCAUAUGAAUAAGGAUCGGCUAACUCCGUGCCAGCAGCCGC